RNAcentral lists this long non-coding RNA (228 nucleotides) under Bos taurus (domestic cattle). RNAcentral's name for it is "long non-coding RNA NONBTAT000065". Lineage: Eukaryota; Metazoa; Chordata; Mammalia; Artiodactyla; Bovidae. The record is from RNAcentral.
AAAUCCUUAAAGGUACAGGGACAGUAACUUACAUUAUUGUUGGUUUUAUUUUUUUUCUCUAAGUUAACUGUAGUUUAAUUAUUCUUAUCUAGGAAUAUUAUUCCUCUCUUCUCUAAGAAAAUUUUUCCUCUGAUUAAAAAGAUAACUUCAGAAGUGUAUUAGUUAGGGAUCUGUGGAGAAACAGAAGGCCCGAGAAGUUGGAUGGAUAUCUGAGCUCAAGCAGAAAGG